UGGUGGGUAGUUUGACUGGGGCGGUCUCCUCCUAAAGAGUAACGGAGGAGCACGAAGGUUGGCUAAUCCUGGUCGGACAUCAGGAGGUUAGUGCAAUGGCAUAAGCCAGCUUGACUGCGAGCGUGACGGCGCGAGCAGGUGCGAAAGCAGGUCAUAGUGAUCCGGUGGUUCUGAAUGGAAGGGCCAUCGCUCAACGGAUAAAAGGUACUCCGGGGAUAACAGGCUGAUACCGCCCAAGAGUUCAUAUCGACGGCGGUGUUUGGCACCUCGAUGUCGGCUCAUCACAUCCUGGGGCUGAAGUAGGUCCCAAGGGUAUGGCUGUUCGCCAUUUAAAGUGGUACGCGAGCUGGGUUUAGAACGUCGUGAGACAGUUCGGUCCCUAUCUGCCGUGGGCGCUGGAAGACUGAGGGGGGCUGCUCCUAGUACGAGAGGACCGGAGUGGACGCAUCACUGGUGUUCGGGUUGUCAUGCCAAUGGCACUGCCCGGUAGCUAAAUGCGGAAAAGAUAAGUGCUGAAAGCAUCUAAGCACGAAACUUGCCCCGAGAUGA
This 549-nucleotide ribosomal RNA is filed under the name Salmonella enterica. Its description in RNAcentral is "partial 23S ribosomal RNA". It matches the Rfam family "Bacterial large subunit ribosomal RNA", at positions 2259 to 2807 of the family's 2925-position model. The record is from RNAcentral. Lineage: Bacteria; Pseudomonadati; Pseudomonadota; Gammaproteobacteria; Enterobacterales; Enterobacteriaceae.